AGUCCAUAAGGGAGUAGAGCGGAUCCAUCUUGGUUUGGAUGUCACAUCCUGGAGAUUUGCUGUAUUAGCAGUCUCUGAGGGUUGUGGCGGUAUCUUUUUUUUUUUGUUCUUUUCGUUGUAGUCCCUCAGGGGGUCUUUCGUUGGUGGGUUGGACGAGUGGGAGCUCCUGGGAUGAAUUCGGCCACGGUAGUUGGGUCCACUUGGGUGAGGUCUGACCCCUCUGUGUGAGUGGGCGGCAGCAGACCUGCAUUGCGUAGGUGUGAGUCCAGUUCAGGGUAGCUCCUGGCUCGGUACAUUGUGUCUUGAUGGGUAAAGGUAAUCAUAUUUGGAGACCCCCAUUUGUACUGGAUAUUCUUAUUUCUGAG
Pelobates cultripes (western spadefoot toad) is the source of this 365-nucleotide non-coding RNA. NCBI's taxonomy places the organism in Eukaryota, Metazoa, Chordata, Amphibia, Anura, Pelobatidae. The record is from the annotation of a GenBank genome assembly.